This 74-nucleotide transfer RNA is filed under the name Watanabea reniformis. RNAcentral's name for it is "tRNA-Ile". It matches the Rfam family "tRNA". Rfam says of the family: Transfer RNA (tRNA) molecules are approximately 80 nucleotides in length. Their secondary structure includes four short double-helical elements and three loops (D, anti-codon, and T loops). Further hydrogen bonds mediate the characteristic L-shaped molecular structure. tRNAs have two regions of fundamental functional importance: the anti-codon, which is responsible for specific mRNA codon recognition, and the 3' end, to which the tRNAs corresponding amino acid is attached (by aminoacyl-tRNA synthetases). tRNAs cope with the degeneracy of the genetic code in two manners: having more than one tRNA (with a specific anti-codon) for a particular amino acid; and 'wobble' base-pairing, i.e. permitting non-standard base-pairing at the 3rd anti-codon position. Lineage: Eukaryota; Viridiplantae; Chlorophyta; Trebouxiophyceae; Watanabeales; Watanabeaceae. The record is from RNAcentral.
AGGCUAUUAGCUCAGUUGGUUAGAGCGCGCCCCUGAUAAGGGCGAGGUCGCUAGUUCAAAUCUAGUAUAGCCUA